Molecule: unclassified non-coding RNA, 23 nt
Filed under: Mus musculus (house mouse)
Lineage: Eukaryota; Metazoa; Chordata; Mammalia; Rodentia; Muridae
Description: oocyte_clustered_small_RNA9441
Source: RNAcentral
GCGCAGGUGUACCAGGAUCCCGG